CAGUCGCCGCGGGAACACGUAGGGUGCGAGCGUUAAUCGGAAUUACUGGGCGUAAAGCGUGCGCAGGCGGUUAUAUAAGUCAGAUGUGAAAUCCCCGGGCUCAACCUGGGAACUGCAUUUGAGACUGUAUGGCUAGAGUGUGUCAGAGGGGGGUAGAAUUCCACGUGUAGCAGUGAAAUGCGUAGAUAUGUGGAGGAAUACCGAUGGCGAAGGCAGCCCCCUGGGAUAACACUGACGCUCAUGCACGAAAGCGUGGGGAGCAAACAGGAUUAGAUACCCCAGUAGUCCCUGUCUCUUAUAC
This 301-nucleotide ribosomal RNA is filed under the name uncultured bacterium. RNAcentral describes it as "partial 16S ribosomal RNA". It matches the Rfam family "Bacterial small subunit ribosomal RNA", at positions 509 to 807 of the family's 1533-position model. The record is from RNAcentral.